This 30-nucleotide non-coding RNA is filed under the name Rattus norvegicus (Norway rat). Lineage: Eukaryota; Metazoa; Chordata; Mammalia; Rodentia; Muridae. The record is from RNAcentral.
UAGGAGCUGAUACUAGCUCAUGAGUUGCCA